Molecule: ribosomal RNA, 474 nt
Filed under: uncultured bacterium
Lineage: Bacteria
Description: bacterial SSU rRNA
Rfam family: Bacterial small subunit ribosomal RNA
Source: RNAcentral
CGCUGGCGGCGUGCUUAAUACAUGCAAGUCAACUUGACUUUAGAUAGCAAUAUCGAAAAGUAGGGUGGCGCACGGGUGCGUAACGCGUAGGUAAUCUGCCCUGAGGUCUGACAUAACCCGUCGAAAGGCGGGCUAACAUCAGAUGAUAUAUAAUCACGACAUCGUGGAAAUAUCAAAUCUUCGGAGCCUUGGGAUGAGCCUGCGUCUGAUUAGGUAGUUGGCGGAGUAAUAGCCCACCAAGCCUACGAUCAGUAGCUGGUCUGAGAGGAUGAUCAGCCACACUGGAACUGAGACACGGUCCAGACUCCUACGGGAGGCAGCAGUAAGGAAUAUUGCUCAAUGGGGGAAACCCUGAAGCAGCAACGCCGCGUGAAGGAUGAAAUACUUUCGUAUGUAAACUUCUGUAAGAUGGGAAAAAUAUUCUCCUCGGGAGAAUUGAUUGUACCAUCAGAGUAAGCCCCGGCUAACUACGUG